CGGGGAGGACAGGUGGUGCAUGGUUGUCGUCAGCUCGUGUCGUGAGAUGUUGGGUUAAGUCCCGCAACGAGCGCAACCCUAUUGCUAGUUACCAUCAUUAAGUUGGGGACUCUAGCGAGACUGCCAGUGAUAAACUGGAGGAAGGUGGGGAUGACGUCAAAUCAUCAUGCCCCUUAUGACCUGGGCUACAAACGUGAUACAAUGGCUGGAACAAAGGGAUGCGAAGCAGUGAUGUGGAGCGAAACCCAUAAAAGCAGUCUCAGUUCGGAUUGAAGUCUGCAACUCGACUUCAUGAAGUCGGAAUCGCUAGUAAUCGCGGAUCAGAACGCCGCGGUGAAUACGUUCUCGGGGUUU
This 354-nucleotide ribosomal RNA is filed under the name uncultured Acholeplasma sp. RNAcentral describes it as "bacterial SSU rRNA". It matches the Rfam family "Bacterial small subunit ribosomal RNA", at positions 1026 to 1382 of the family's 1533-position model. The record is from RNAcentral. Lineage: Bacteria; Bacillati; Mycoplasmatota; Mollicutes; Acholeplasmatales; Acholeplasmataceae.